CCUACGGGUGGCUGCAGUGGGGAAUAUUGCACAAUGGGCGCAAGCCUGAUGCAGCCAUGCCGCGUGUGUGAAGAAGGCCUUCGGGUUGUAAAGCACUUUCAGCGGGGAGGAAGGCGGUGAGGUUAAUAACCUCAUCGAUUGACGUUACCCGCAGAAGAAGCACCGGCUAACUCCGUGCCAGCAGCCGCGGUAAUACGGAGGGUGCAAGUGUUAAUCGGAAUUACUGGGCGUAAAGCGCACGCAGGCGGUCUGUCAAGUCGGAUGUGAAAUCCCCGGGCUCAACCUGGGAACUGCAUCGAAACUGGCAGGCUAGAGUCUUGUAGAGGGGGGUAGAAUUCCAGGUGUAGCGGUGAAAUGCGUAGAGAUCUGGAGGAAUACCGGUGGCGAAGGCGGCCCCCUGGACAAAGACUGACGCUCAGGUGCGAAAGCGUGGGGAGCAAACAGGAUUAGAUACCCCUGUAGUC
Molecule: ribosomal RNA, 464 nt
Filed under: uncultured Klebsiella sp.
Lineage: Bacteria; Pseudomonadati; Pseudomonadota; Gammaproteobacteria; Enterobacterales; Enterobacteriaceae
Description: bacterial SSU rRNA
Rfam family: Bacterial small subunit ribosomal RNA
Source: RNAcentral